Carassius auratus (goldfish) is the source of this 3135-nucleotide long non-coding RNA. RefSeq lists it as uncharacterized. NCBI's taxonomy places the organism in Eukaryota, Metazoa, Chordata, Actinopteri, Cypriniformes, Cyprinidae. The transcript has 6 exons. The record is from RefSeq and is a predicted model, not a curated record.
CCAGGAAAGCAUUAUUUAAAUUCUCUAAUGAUACAGGGUUAAUGAUCAGAAUAUGAGUACAGUUAAAAAGACACGACGUUCCACACUCUUGUACAAUAGGUGGCGGUAUGCACCUAAAAGUUGUUUGCAAUCCGCCAUUAACUAAGAGAAGAAGAAGAAGAACGAUCAUUAGUGACAGAAUCAUCAGCCAAUCAAAUGUUGACUUUCAAUCAUCAAAGGCAUCACGCCAUCUGGGUCUAGCGACGUGCCCAGUCUUGUCCCCAGGCAGCGUGAAAGAGAAAUUCAUCGCAAGGAAAAUAACAACCGCAGUCACCGGCGCCUACUCCAGAUCUUGUUGCCAAUUUACUCUUUUGCAGACGCAGGAAAACUAACAGAGAAAGGAAGACCUACUGCACCGAAACUGGAUUCGGUAACAAAAGCCAGCAAAGGUUUUGUCCGCCAUUUCAAAUAUGUAUCUAGGAGUGCUAUGAGUGGCUAACAGCUAGCACUGAGCUGAACAAGUUAUUUUGUUGGCUGUGUUUACUUUUUAUAUGAGUAAAGGGGCAUAGAUUGACAGACACACGGACUUUAUCUACAAGUGAAAGCUAUAACCUAGAGAGCAGCAUAUAGUUCCAAUCAAUGGUGGCCCUCUGCAGUGUUAUGGACACUCUCUGGCUCCUCACAAGAUUCAGCUGAUAAGCAGUGCAAGCAGUUUUCAGACUGUUUCCUGUACGGCCAAUGGUGUGAAGACAAGAAAUGCAUCUCUUCUACAAGUAACUGCACUGUGCUUACAGUUGAGCUUGCCUGCCACCUUCGAGGUCCCCUGUACCUCAACCCUCCCCCUGCAAUGCUUUCUGAGCAGCAGCUCUCUAUUUGGAGACCUGGUGUGUGCAAAAAUGGCCAGUCUGUGAAGAACUUUACCAAAUACAGUGUUCGAAGUGAGCAGAUUUGCAGCAAACUGGAGAACUGCAGGAGUUGCUUGCUUAACAUCAACUGUCAGUGGGAGCCAUAACAGCAGGAAUGUCACGCUUUGCCUGCUCAGAACUGUUCAGGUGAUCGUACAUGUGCUCUGUGCGUGGACCCUACAGACACAGGUCAGGGUCAGUGUUUUGAGGGAUCAUACCGUGGACCAAUGAGGAGCCUGAGCAGACAGAGACGAGAGAGGGUAUUGGACACAAGUAUCCAUUCAAGGAAACACUGGGCCAACAUAACCUGCCCAGAUAAACUUCAAAACACACAUGCUCAAAACCUGUAAAUGAUGUUGUGUGUGAAAUCAGUCCAAUCAAACGAACACACACUCCUCUCACUGUAUGUUUCAGCAUGCCAAUGUAACGGGAACAUGACGUGUGUUAAUGGCAGUGUAUGUGAGCAGUGCAAGAAUCUCACAACUGGGACGCAGUGCCAGAUCUGUCUACCUGGUUACUAUAGAGACCCCACAAAUGGAGGGUAAUGCCAAAAUGAGAUACUGUAUGUCUAAAAGUGUGUUUCUGUCUAUUUGUGUGCUUGUUUGUAUCUGCGUUUGAAGGAAUAGUUUCUUUUUUUCCCUAAAUCUGCUCAUUCUUUCAAGCAUGCAUGAUUUAGUCUCAGAGAAACAACAUAUAUUUAGCAGAAUAUCCAGAUGUUGUUUUCCAUACAAUGAAAGUGAAUAAUAAAUAUGGAUGCCAAGCUACAAUCAAAACAGAAGCCACAGGAGGAGUCCGUUUGAACCUGCCAUACAUUCCAAAUAUUUAAACCACAGCUUGAUGUGAAGAACAAAGCAAAAUGUAAAUGCAAAUGUGACGUUUUUCCUGAUAUGUAUCAUUAUUUUGUUCCAUUUGUGUUUGUUCUUAAUUUUGCAAUUUCACUAGACAGAACCUGCCUCUACCAGACUGACUAGAGCGAAGCUAAUAUGUAACAUUUUGUAUAAAUGUAUGCGUUCAUGGGCAAACUUGACUGACCAACAGAUUGCCACUAUAUUUUGUAUUUUUAUUUGAAUGCCAUUCCAGUUUAACCCCUGGUUCUUGCAUAUAUCGUCAUAAAAUGGAGUGUGAAUUCUGUGCAAAUUUGAGGUGGUGCAAGGCAAGCUAAUGAGGGAGUCUUUCCAGUUUAGCCUGGGCAACCUGCUAAAUAACUCCUUUUUAGUGGAAGAAAAAAAAUCAUAUUGGUUUGGAAAGGCUUGAGGCGCGAGUAGAGGAUGCGAGAACUUUCAUUACUUGUUAAACUACCACUUUAAGGUGUACAUGUGGCCACACACUAUUUCAAACUGAAAUCGAUUCAGUAGUUAAUUCAUAAACAGUCUGCAUGCAUCCAGAUGUACCAGAGGAUAUCCCAGUGUCCCCAUCUAAUUUUGUUUUAAUAGUGAUUGUGGCCAUAUUUUAUUACGAGUGCAGUAAUCAACCUGACGCAAAUUGUAUUGAUUUGAUGUGGGCUACUCGUGUUAGCUCUUCACUGUGGCUUUCCUCCCAGUUUCCAAUCGCUGAGUUUAUAUACAAGCUUCAUCACUCAUUGAGAUGAAACUGCGGUGGGAGCGAGAGAAAGAGGAGCAAAGAAGGUGGUGUAAUAACAUCAUUCUCUGUCGGACAGAUGUGCGUUUUCUCAACAUUAUGUGACAUUAAAUCACUCUCAAUCAUUUUCUUAUAUCCUGGACUUGACGGCCGUCCCACCUCCUCAUCUAUACAAGCAGUCCAGUGCUCACAGUGGAGAUUUGAUAGAUGUGCAGCCCUCCACAUCUCUCAAGGAAACACGCUCUGCCUCUUCAUUCCUCCCUGUUGACUAUCACCAUGAUUAAGAGUGCUUUAUUGACUGCGUCUUGGUGUAAAUGUGCACGUGCCUUUAAUGGUCUGAUUGUGGCCACCGCUAAUCCAGCAGUGUCAUUUUUCAAAGUUAUUGAAUGGAGGAGAUUUACCUCGACUCAUACACUAAUACGUUUAAACCACUGAUCUGUGUUAGAUUAGACGAGGAGAGAUGGAGAGCAGGGAAGGCUGGAUGGAUAUCUCUCACUGUGUGUGUGUGUGUGUGUGUGUUUUCUGAAGGAGAAAAGAGACAGGCCAUCAAAGUAAGAUCAGGAUAAAAUAUGAGACAUGGCGGCUGCCCUUGAUGAGAGAGAGAAAACCGUCUGUAAAAGAUAGAGGACAUGUGUCCUUUUCAAAUGGCCCACUUAGUUAGGGGACAACGGCG